CUUCAGCUCCCCUUUCAGCUCCCCUUUCACCUCCGGGCCCCCUCUGCACAUUUCCUGUUCUUCGCAGUCAACCUGCUCCUGCAGGGGGAGCUUCCGCUUCAAGUCCUUUAUUCUCUGCUCCUGGUCUGCCUUUCUUGACUGGCCUGGAGGUCCUGAAUCUUCUGAUUAUCUUCCUGCCAUUUGUGUGUGUGUAUGUUGCAAAUCGAGCUGUUCCUCCAGCUCCUGUUUUGCAGACUCCAAGCAGUUCACCUGCAUCUUCUGUACCGCAGAUCAGAGAUCCUCUGCUUUGAGGCACUGACGGUCUUGCCAGCUUCUGCCAGGCAGUCCUCCUUCCGCUGCAGCUCCUUGCUGGCUGUGCCUUGGCUCCCUUGACAUCUACUUGAGGCCUCCUGUGACCGGCUGCAUCUGCAUCUUCCCCCGUCCACCCGGAUGACCAGGGAUGACUCGAGACUUCAAAGGGAUCUGCUCUGCUUGAUCCAAUAGCUGCAUGCUUUGCUGGUACUGCGUCUGCAGAGAGCCUUGAGCAGGGGUGGAAACAUCAAGUCAAGAUCCUCCCUCCACUCGCAGAGACAUGAAGUUGUUCAAAGACCUCAGAGAUGGUGCUGGAAGAUGUCAUGAAUUGGACGCCAUGGAGCUCCUGCUUCCUCUGUGCCUCACCUCUGCCUGGGGUGCCAGGCCUGGUUUUCUGAACCUGGGGGAGACUCAAAGAGUUUUGAAGGACUGAUUCUGUAAAACCAACCAACCAACCAACCAACCAACCAACCAAGGAAGAGCUGUUUUUACCUUGAAGAAUUGAAGAACAAUCAGGGAAUGUAGCAGAAGCUGUCCUACCACCCUUGUCUGAGGAAGUUAACCCUGCUUUGCCUGAGGAACCUGUAAUGGUCUCCACUGAGAUAAUCUCCUUGUAAAAUCCUGCUGAUUUAUAUCAGAACUCAUUUCUAGCACCUCUCAUUGCUUCUACACCUGUAACUACACUCAAUCCAGCAGGACCUGAAUGUGAGCUCGGUGAGAUGGAAACUGCUCCAGGAUGGGGCAGCCUAGAACACAAGACUCCUUCCCACUCCUGGCUCAGAGGUGGAGGGCUGUCCUCUGGGGAGGAGCAGGCCGUCAACAUUUCUCAUCCUACCCCCAGCCACCUGUUGCUGAAAUGAAGUUCCAAAUGAGAGGGACCAAGAGAAGAGAUUCCGUGAUAUUGUAAAAAGAGAAAAACUACUGCAUCCCCGAUUUUGCUUCAACAUAUAGUGAAUUCAGUGCUCAGUUAUCAUGAUCCAGUCUCCGUAAGGACAAGAUUUUGAAUAAGCAGACCUGCUUCUCUCCCAAUUGCUGACUCUGCUUUGCGCACGACCGCCUGCCCCAAUGAGGAACCUGCGAUUUUCCCUAUCCUCACCAUGACCAUGAAUCCAGGCCACAAAGUCUUGCCUGGACUUUGUGCCAUGUCUCUCCUUGUUUUGCCUCCCUCCAGUUUCAUCUAUUCAGUAUAAUAUCUGCCAAUGAGAGUGAGAGACUUCGAAAAUGAAACGUGAAUCAUGUUACUCCCUGUUUAUGUUUCAUUGUUUUCGAGUUUCCUUGGGAGUAAUGUUCAAACUCCUCACUAUAACUUGUUGGACUGUUUUGUCAUUGGCAUAUGUCUCCAGAUUCAUGUCUCCUCACUUCACCUCUCCACUUUAAACUCCAACAAGUCUUACCUUUUAGUUUUUUAAUCUAACUAGCUCUUAGCCUCCAAGACUUUUAUAUGCCAAUAACUAACCGUAUUUGGAAUAUUUUCCCAUUUCUCUGCUUUGCCUAGGUAACACUUAGGCGUUUUUCAGGCCCAAUUUAAUGACCAUUUCCUCUAGGAUGAUUUCUCUGUCUUUCUAGGCUCAGUUAGGUCCUAUUGUGUUCAUCCAUGCUAUCUAUCCCAUAUUUGUCCUAUCAGAGCACUUAGGCUUUUGAAAUUGUCUUCUUGACUGAGAUUUAUUUUCGGUAAAAGCAGGAGCUAUAUUUAUCUUUCUCAGGGUUCUACACCCAGUACCUCAAACCUUAUGUGGUCCACAGAUGAUACCCAAUAACUAUGUUUUUGAAUGAGCAAGUACAUGAUUAGCUAAAGGAAUAUACUGAGUCAUACACUUCUGGAUACUUAGGCAAAAGUGAAACAUUUGUCUAUUAAAAAAUCAUAAAUGAGCACUGGGUAUUAUAUAAGACUGAUGAAUCACGUAUCUGUACCCCUGAUCCAAGUAAAACAUUAUAUGUUAAUUAAUUGAAUUUAAAUUUUAAAAAAUCAUAAAUGAUUAAAAUGACUGGAUACAUGCGUUUGUAUUUCAGUUCAUUCAAAUAUUUUUCAUAAAUUGUUGACAGAUAAAUGAGAUAAUUUUUCCCCAAAGUACUUCAUAAAAUUGGAAUUUGGAGUCAGGUUUCUAUGCUUUUUUCAGUUUAAUUCUCAGCUUCUUUUGCUCAAUUAGGUUUCAUUUCAUAAAACUGACAUGCUGAAGGAUGAAAAUACAUUUAGAUAAAUAAUACAGAGUAACAAGGAUAAUUCUUUAAUAUGUAGUAGCUAUGCAAUAAAUGUAAGUGGAAUGGACUAAUGAACUUGACCUCUCAAUAUUAAACACAGUUAUUGGAGCUAGCCAGUGGAUUUCAAUUUGUAUACCAUUCCUGGUCAGUUGUUAGAGGAUGUCUUAUACUCAGUUAGGAGGUGGAUAAAUACAAUAACAUGUGAUGAUUAGCAAGGAAAACUAUCAUGAUUAAUUAUUGAUGUCAAGCAGAGAGGUGGGAAAGAGGAUUGAUGGCACGUCUACCACAUCUAUACCAUUAUGAAAUUAUGCAAUUGUUCAAUAAAGAAAUAAAAACUAAAGUGAAAAAACAAGGGUAGCUAGCAUAGAAGGGUAGAAAUUUGGGCUAAUAGUGCUUAUGUAUAUACGACAAAAUGAGAAAAUUGUGGGAUUAUACACAUAAUGAAUGAAUGUUGAUGCUUUUUAGAGAACAAAAGCAUAAUUUUGUUUCAAUAAUUGAAAAACUGAGGUUGAGAUAAAGAUUAAUACGUGGUGAUAUAUUAAUUAUGGCAGAUGCAGGACUUGAAUUCUGAUAUUUUUUUGUUCUCUGAGUAAAAUGUACUUCACAGCAUACAAUAAUUUUUCAAAAAUAAAUCUCUAAUGAAAUUGGUUGUAUUUGGCUAAUUCUUUGUAUGGAAUUCAUUCAUAAGUGAUAUAGUCUGCUACUACAAUGAACCUGUUUAUGUAGUUAUAAAUUGCCUACAUAGCAGCUCUUACCUGAAUCCUCAAGAGACCUUUUUGAGCCCUAGAGAUGGCAACCAGCCAAUGACGUUUAUUUAACUGCUUUUCAUGGAGUCACCACAAGAGGUGGCAGUGUAGCAA
RNA transcript from Ailuropoda melanoleuca (giant panda), 3350 nucleotides. RefSeq lists it as uncharacterized. Lineage: Eukaryota; Metazoa; Chordata; Mammalia; Carnivora; Ursidae. The transcript is spliced from 7 exons. The record is from RefSeq and is a predicted model, not a curated record.